Molecule: long non-coding RNA, 781 nt
Organism: Felis catus (domestic cat)
Lineage: Eukaryota; Metazoa; Chordata; Mammalia; Carnivora; Felidae
Exons: 2
Source: RefSeq, a predicted model, not a curated record
UCAAAAACCACAAAGGCCUUGGUUACAGCUUACCCUUGUUUUUGAUCAACAAUAACAUGACUGAUGUCACUAUGGCUCAACUCAACCACAAACAUGGAUUCAGGAAGUUCUGGAGAUGGGCUGGGGGCUAGUGGAGAUGACCAGCUGGAGAUUCGGCUCCUUGGAGAGACAGUGGUUGGCUGGACCUGAGCUCCAGAGGAAGGAGGGACACUUGGAACAAAAAGGAAAUAUUGCUCUGAUCUCACCAAAAGGAGACUGAAACACUGCCAACCAGGGACAGGAGCUUCCUGAGUAGGAGCUGAGGCCUCUGUGCGGCAAUUUAGUGAGAGCAUAGCUGGUGAGAGAACCAUGUGAAAAACACGUGAGUCUCCAGCUAGAAGAGGGGAUUAGGAGACCCGUGUCUGUAGAUGUACCCAUGGCUUAUGGAGCUUGGAGAAACGUGGGCUUACUAACAUCCUAAAGCAAGCCCUGCCUGCCAAGUCUUCAUAUAGAAAGUGCUUCUUCUAGGGACAGUCAGUCCCAGGUUGGCUCUUCAGGCUUGGACAGGUUUGCUUCAAAUUUCUGUUCUUUGUGGACAUAGGUCAUCAACUUCUUGUUGGGCAAAGACAACAACAGACAUGUCCAAGUUCAGCCUCAGGAACCACCUUGGAUGGCAGAAGCUGGCCCUCGAAGCUUCCCUAACAAAUAACAGCAAUUCUCGAGAGUCCUCACGCACACAAGAUAAUGCUUUAGCAGUCAACAGGGGCUCUCAACUCUGGAAUAAAUGACGUCCACUUGGUCA